This 415-nucleotide ribosomal RNA is filed under the name uncultured Paenibacillus sp. RNAcentral describes it as "bacterial SSU rRNA". It matches the Rfam family "Bacterial small subunit ribosomal RNA", at positions 971 to 1382 of the family's 1533-position model. Lineage: Bacteria; Bacillati; Bacillota; Bacilli; Caryophanales; Paenibacillaceae. The record is from RNAcentral.
UUACCUGGUCUUGACAUCCCGGGAAUCUUGUGGAAACACGAGAGUGCCUCGCAAGAGGAGCCUGGAGGACAGGUGGUGCAUGGUUGUCGUUCAGCUCGUGUCGUGAGAUGUUGGGUUAAGUCCCGCAACGAGCGCAACCCCUAUUGUUAGUUGCCAUCAUUCAGUUGGGCACUCUAGCGAGACUGCCGGUAAUAAACCGGAGGAAGUGGGGAUGACGUCAAAUCAUCAUGCCCCUUAUGACCUGGGCUACACACGUGCUACAAUGGCCGUUACAACGGGAAGCGAAGGAGCAAUCCGGAGCAAAUCCCUUAAAGGCGGUCCCAGUUCAGAUUGUGGGCUGAAACUCGCCCACAUGAAGGCGGAAUUGCUAGUAAUUGCAGAUCAGCAUGCUGCAGUGAAUACGUUCCCGGGCCUU